Molecule: ribosomal RNA, 827 nt
Filed under: uncultured sediment archaeon
Lineage: Archaea
Description: bacterial SSU rRNA
Rfam family: Archaeal small subunit ribosomal RNA
Source: RNAcentral
UGCUCUGUAAGUUUCCGGUUAAAUCCAUUAGCUCAACUGAUGGGCCGCCGGAAAAACUGCAAAGCUAGGGAGUGGGAGAGGUAGACGGUACUCGGUAGGAAGGGGUAAAAUCCUUUGAUCUAUUGAUGACCACCAGUGGCGAAGGCGGUCUACCAGAACACGUUCGACGGUGAGGGAUGAAAGCUGGGGGAGCAAACCGGAUUAGAUACCCGGGUAGUCCCAGCUGUAAACGAUGCAGACUCGGUGAUGCCCUGGCUUGUGGCCAGUGCAGUGCCGCAGGGAAGCCGUUAAGUUUGCCGCCUGGGAAGUACGUACGCAAGUAUGAAACUUAAAGGAAUUGGCGGGGGAGCACCACAAGGGGUGAAGCCUGCGGUUCAAUUGGAGUCAACGCCAGAAAUCUUACCCGAAGAGACAGCAGAAUGAAGGUCAAGCUGGAGACUUUACCAGACAAGCUGAGAAGUGGUGCAUGGCCGUCGCCAGCUCGUGCCGUGAGAUGUCCUGUUAAGUCAGGUAACGAGCGAGAUCCCUGCCUCUAGUUGCCACCAUUACUCUCAGGAGUAGUGGGGCGAAUUAGCGGGACCGCCACAGUUAAUGUGGAGGAAGGAAGGGGCCACGGCAGGUCAGUAUGCCCUGAAACUUUGGGGCCACACGCGGGCUGCAAUGAUAGUGACAAUGAGUUCCUAAACCGAAAGGUGGAGGCAAUCUUCAAACGCUAUCACAGUUAUGAUUGAGGGCUGCAACUCGCCCUCAUGAAUAUGGAAUCCCUAGUAACUGCGUGUCAUUACCGCGCGGUGAAUACGUCCCUGCUCCUUGCACACACCGCCCGU